This 1298-nucleotide ribosomal RNA is filed under the name metagenome. RNAcentral describes it as "bacterial LSU rRNA". It matches the Rfam family "Bacterial large subunit ribosomal RNA", at positions 1635 to 2925 of the family's 2925-position model. The record is from RNAcentral.
UAUACGACCGUACCGCAAACCGACACUGGUGCGCGAGAUGAGUAUUCUAAGGCGCUUGAGAGAACUCAGGAGAAGGAACUCGGCAAAUUGACACCGUAACUUCGGAAGAAGGUGUGCCCUAUUAGUGUGUAGUGAACAACGAAGCAUGAAUGGGUUGCAAAAAAUCGGUGGCUGCGACUGUUUAUUAAAAACACAGCACUCUGCAAACACGAAAGUGGACGUAUAGGGUGUGACGCCUGCCCGGUGCUGGAAGAUUAAAUGAUGGGGUGCAAGCUCUUGAUUGAAGUCCCAGUAAACGGCGGCCGUAACAAUAACGGUCCUAAGGUAGCGAAAUUCCUUGUCGGGUAAGUUCCGACCUGCACGAAUGGCGUAACGAUGGCCACACUGUCUCCUCCUGAGACUCAGCGAAGUUGAAAUGUUUGUGAUGAUGCAAUCUCCCCGCGGAAAGACGGAAAGACCCCAUGAACCUUUACUGUAGCUUUGUAUUGGACUUUGAACAGAUCUGUGUAGGAUAGGUGGGAGGCUUUGAAGCAGGGUCGCUAGAUCUUGUGGAGCCAACGUUGAAAUACCACCCUGGUGUGUUUGAGGUUCUAACCUAGGUCCAUUAUCUGGAUCGGGGACAGUGCAUGGUAGGCAGUUUGACUGGGGCGGUCUCCUCCCAAAGCGUAACGGAGGAGUUCGAAGGUACGCUAGUUACGGUCGGACAUCGUGACGAUAGUGCAAUGGCAUAAGCGUGCUUAACUGCGAGACUGACAAGUCGAGCAGAUGCGAAAGCAGGACAUAGUGAUCCGGUGGUUCUGUAUGGAAGGGCCAUCGCUCAACGGAUAAAAGGUACUCUGGGGAUAACGGGCUGAUACCGCCCAAGAGUUCAUAUCGACGGCGGUGUUUGGCACCUCGAUGUCGGCUCAUCUCAUCCUGGGGCUGUAGCCGGUCCCAAGGGUAUGGCUGUUCGCCAUUUAAAGAGGUACGUGAGCUGGGUUUAAAACGUCGUGAGACAGUUUGGUCCCUAUCUUCCGUGGGCGCUGCAGAUUUGAGGAAGCCUGCUCCUAGUACGAGAGGACCGGAGUGGACAUACCUCUGGUGUAUCGGUUGUCACGCCAGUGGCAUUGCCGAGUAGCUAAGUAUGGAAGAGAUAAACGCUGAAAGCAUCUAAGCGUGAAACUCGUUUCUAGAUGAGAUCUGCCGGGGCCUUGAGCCCCCUAAAGAGUCGUUCAAGACCAGGACGUUGAUAGGUCAGGUGUGGAAGCGCAGUAAUGCGUUAAGCUAACUGAUACUAAUUGCUCGUGCGGCUUGACCCU